UUUAAAAUGUGGGGAAAAACUUGUAAAAAUAUAAAUAGUUAAGAAAAGUAAAAGUAAAAAAAAAUCUUCAAUGAUGCCAAUGAUGUUGGCAGACCCUUUACAUGAGUACACAUCUCCCUUUUGGGGGCCUCAUUGAUUUAAAAUUAAGUUAAAUAUUGUUGGGGGUUGGGGCUCAAAGCAGAUACCAAAGACACAGGCUUGCUAGCUACAAGAUUGCCUUAUAAGGAUAAAACUGGUAACAGACACCCUGAUUGGUGCUGACAAAACUAAAAAGUUUUUAUUUACAUUUUUUCCUGAAGUCUCUCUCUGCCUGAUGUAGCUGUGUAAUAAUAAAGUUUUGCUUUUGGUAACUCGGCUCAGUGUUUAGUUCUUCCUCGGAAGCCGGUGACGACCGAAGACCCAGAAGAUGGCAAAGCAACAGUGGAAAGCGGCAGCUGCUUGGUUCCUUUGGCUGAAGAAAACAAAUGGUUAUUUAAAAAGACAAACUGCUCUUACAAGAUGUUAAUUGAUUGAAUAUUUGUUUCUUUAGAUACAUAAUGGUUAUGAAUAUUAAAGAAUAUGAUCAGAAAUGUGGUAUAUAGUUUGAAAGGGUUAUUUCAAAAAGUUUAAUUGAUGUUUUCAAGAACUUUUCAGAUUCUUUUUAUGUGAAAAUAGGAAGUUUUAAUUAACUGUAUUGAUGCCAAUUAUCUGAAAUGGGACUCCAAGGAUAAUAGUUUUUGCCUUCUUCCUUUUGAAAAUGUUUUUGUUGUGAACCAUAUGUAGUUUGGAGUUUUUCUGUAUAUUGGGUAUUUUAAAAGCAAAAUGAUUGGUAUACUAUUAAAUUUAUUCAAGAUGCAACAUCUACUUGGGUACAUAAGAAUUGUGUGAAUUUUCUGGGAUAAAUUUCUUACUGUUACUGAUAUAAGGUCAUGGUAAAUAAUUGUUUGGGAUUUAUUUGAAACUUUGGAGAUGAAAUUCUUUGGGCUUGUAAUUAAUUCUAUUUGGGAGUUUUAAAGCUCCACUCUUUGAUGUGCUGAAGAUUGAGUUUUAACUGCUUAUAUUAUGUAAUAGUUAUGUUCUUGCAUUUUUCCUUCUGUAACUGAUCUCUCUGAUCAGAGCAAUGGUCAAUAGAACUGUUAAUAUAAUUCAAUUAUGUCAUGCCUUGCUAUUUUCAGUCUGGUCAUAUGUAAUCAUUGUAUCCUAAAUGCUUGGGCAACUGACCAUUUCGCCUGGUCAUCUGUCUGUUACUGGAUAUUUGUGUUUUAUUUCUUUAAGGUUUCUACAUGAUAAGAGGACAAUUAACAGGGGUCUGUGAGACCUCACUGAUGUUGCAACUUGGGACUGCACCCGUUUGCUUGGCCUGUAAAGCAAACUCAUUUCUUCACAUAGGAAACAAUUUAUUUUGACCUCCUCAUAUUCUGCAGCAGUUUGGUGAACUGAGUCUUUCUAUCUGAGACUGAUCUAAUCUUUAUUUGCUAGAUUUGUGUUUUUGCUCUAGAUUUUGGUCAAAUUACAGAUAUUGGCUUGUUUCUGGAACCUGAAUCAGCUUUGAUCAGCUUUGAUUGUCAACAUGAUGCACCCACUCUGCAAGGAAUGAGAACCUCCUGUCACUUCACAGCCUGGAGCAGCAGUUUUAAAUGAGAGCCAUGGACUUGACCCUGCAUCUACUGUAGUUUGGACUAAUAUAAGGGACUUUGGGAAUGGUUGAUGAAUGACUGUUAAACCUUGCCUGGAUCAUCUAUUACUGUGUGCUUAAGAUUUGGGAUGGGAUUUGUUAACACUGUGUAACUGUUGCUGUUAUGUUUGAGGGAUUUUUAGGAAAUGCUACUGUACUAGUCUGUUAUGUAUAGGGAUUUUGAUUCACUCUUGGGAUUUAUAUGGGCAAUGGUCAUUUGAUAAUUCCUUUCCAUGAGAAAGAAAAAGGGGGAGGUAGAGAUAGAACAUUGGGGAACCUCACAGAACUCCAAUCAGGCCUUAAAAAUUUAAAAGACUCUGUGUCCUCCCUAGCAGAAGUAGUACUGCAAAAUAGAAGGGGUUUAGAUCUGUUGUUCUUACAGCAGGGCGGCCUUUGCGCUGCACUAAAAGAAGAAUGUUGUUUCUUUGUAAAUAAGCUGGGCCUGGUAGAGGAUAGCAUUCAAAAGAUCAGGGACAGUUUAGAAAAACGUAAAAGAGAGAGAGAGCAACAAGAAUCCUGGUACCAAAACUGGUUUUCUGCUUCCCCCUGGCUGACAACAUUGCUUCCUAGUCUCCUAGGCCCACUCAUUGGCUUCUUACUUUUGGUUUCCUUUGGACCAUGGUUGUUCAACAAACUAACCAACUUUGUUAAGUCUCAGGUUGAUUCUGCGAUCCAGAAAAACGUUCAAAUUGUCUACCAACAAAUCCAUGAUUCAGAGCCAGUGGACAACUCGCACACCCCACAACCUGAGCCUCUUUGUUUUACUGAAGCUGAUUUUAACACUCCAUGGUACCGGAAACUUUGCCUUACAUAAGUUAACUAUCCCCUGGCGCCUGUGUAUCUCUGUAUAACUACCUCCCUUUGAUCAUGCAUAAUCAAAAGGCUAUGACCCUCAGGUCUGGCUGACGGAGCUUGAGCCACAACCAUAAGACCACCACCGCGCCAUGAUGGGCAACCUCAGGGCAUUCCCACCCACCUGAGACAGGGCCCUGGUGUGGCAGGGAUCCACGGGUCAGGCGUGGCCUGCCCUGACGACCUAAGACAGCGCUCCGUGGCUGAAAUCCUCAAGCUCACGCAGAAGGGAGCCAGGGCAUAAGCCAUCUGUUUAUAAAACCUUGCUACUGAGACAAGGCGAACCGUGCCUUUACCACUGCCUUUAAACAAAAAGGGGGAAUUGUUGGGGGUUGGGGCUCAAAGCAGAUACCAAAGACACAGGCUUGCUAGCUACAAGAUUGCCUUAUAAGGAUAAAACUGGUAACAGACACCCUGAUUGGUGCUGACAAAACUAAAAAGUUUUUAUUUACAUUUUUUCCUGAAGUCUCUCUCUGCCUGAUGUAGCUGUGUAAUAAUAAAGUUUUGCUUUUGGUAA
This is a long non-coding RNA of Antechinus flavipes (yellow-footed antechinus), 3023 nucleotides long. RefSeq lists it as uncharacterized. NCBI's taxonomy places the organism in Eukaryota, Metazoa, Chordata, Mammalia, Dasyuromorphia, Dasyuridae. The transcript is spliced from 2 exons. The record is from RefSeq and is a predicted model, not a curated record.